Molecule: long non-coding RNA, 2379 nt
Filed under: Canis lupus familiaris (dog)
Lineage: Eukaryota; Metazoa; Chordata; Mammalia; Carnivora; Canidae
Description: lncRNA (ENSCAFG00000057696.1, ENSCAFG00805011849.1)
Source: RNAcentral
GGCACAAGAUAUAAGAAAACUUCUCUUGGAGAAGAUUUACCUUUGCUUCUACCAAUAACCUCAGGAAAAAGGAAAUUGAGAACAUGUUGAAAUCAGCUUCUAGUUUAGGGUUUCUUAUGGACCACACAAGGGGCAAGAAUCCAAAUUUCAAACUCAGGCAAGGGCCACGUCAUUUUCACAAAAUCUCAGGGACGAUUUUUACCCCUAAAAUCCAACAUCAUGACAAGUAUAUUUUCUUGCCUCAUCUUUCUGUACAAUGGGUUUUUACAGGCCUAUUCUUUCACGAAGAUGGAACUGUUUGGUCUCUAAAACCAUCCACUUUGGGUGGGCUUUAGGUUUUGUCUCCUGCCCUCUGUCUGGGGCAGCCAUCAAAUAGAAAUUCCUACAGGCAGACGCCUCUAGGGAUGUUACAAGUAUUAAACAUACCCUACGGCGAGGGGGGCUGGGUGAAAGGGCAGUCACAGAUGUGAGGGAGAAAGAAAAUGCUACAUUUUUAGUCUAACCUUUUAAUAUAAUUAAAUCAGAUAGCCAUUGUUCAUGUUAUGAAGUACAAAAAAUUAAUUUUGGAAACUGAAGGCAUGACAGGAAUAGGGAAAGCUUAAGGGGCCCAAAAAGUAAGAAGGCUUCAUUCAUUCAUUCAUUUUCACUUGACAAUUAUUUAUUGAGCACCUACAAGGUAUCAGAUUAAACUAUUCUCCAGCUUUAGGAGACAUAUUAGGUAUACAAGUGACAAAACCCCUUGCCCACAGGGAAUUGACAUUCAAGUAAGCAUGAAGACAGUGAGCUAUUUUAAGGGUGAAAAAAGACAUGCCACUGAGAAAUUCAGGGGAAGCUCAGGAAAAAAAAAAAAAGAAAAAAGAAAGAAAUAUUAAAUACAAAACUCUCCCAGGGGGCCAUUUUACUUAGGAUCAGAUCUGAUUCUUUAUUUUUGAGAUCUAAUUUAUUUUCUUAGGAUGCUCGCUAAGUACGUUAGUAAUAUUCCCCUAUAGGGGAAACUCAAUUUUCUUGUACCUGGAUGGGGGACAUUCAUUGAUUAAAAAUUAUACUGUAUGGUGACAGAUGGUAGCUACCCUUGUGAACAUACCAGAAGGUAUAAACCUAUGGAAUCACUAUGUCGUGCACCUGAAACUAAUGUAACAUUGUGUAUCAAGUUUAUAAAUUAAUAAAUAAGCUAUAAUAAGCAAGCUACAUAAAUAAAUAAACAAACAAACAAAUAAGCAAGCAAGCAAACAAACCAAGCAAGCAAGCAAGCUAUGGAAAAAUAUUGGAAUAGGAGAGGGAUUUUCAAGGUGACCUGACAAGAUAUUAAAGGCUUUUUCUUCUGUACAUGGGGUACCCCUUUCAAUACUUAGAAUUUUUUUUUUUCUAAAGAGUAUUUCUCUCGACUCUCAGCUCGAUUUUGAAGUGUUUAUUACCAUGCAAGAGAUGUAGAAAGAUAAUCCUCAAGGUAUCUAGUCAGGGAGGAUCUCUCCCCACCCCACUUUGAGGACAUCUGAAAGUGGGUCAGUUAGACCAUCUCUGCUCUAAAUCUCGCAGGAAAAAUAUGAUGCCUUUUUCACUGAGAGAGUUCCUCUCUCCCUGCUCAUCUUACCAUUUUAGGAGUAAGACGUCAAGUGUCAAGUUCAGAGCAUGGACUUGGGGAAAAACUCCAAGGAGUACAAUAAGAUUGUUUUUGGCCUAGGCCUUACAUGAGAAAGAGGAUUCUAGAAGUCCACGCAUAGUCCAAUGCAACUCAUGAGGCCUGGGGAUUUUGAAGCAGAAACUUAUAAUGGCACAAAAAGUUAUUACAUCAAAGUAUCUUGAUACUUUUAUCACUAAAAAAGAGAAUUAUCCUGAAGUGGUAAGUACGUAACAUAUAUUAAUGCUCUGCAAGUGUCCUCAUACUGCUGCAGUUGUGGUGAAGAGCUGGUUUAGGACCCAGCAGUAUAGGUUCCAGGCCAACUCAGCUUCUUGCUACCCUGAAGCUAAAUCUAAUAAGGUCCAACCCUAUUAAACAGAGAAUAUUAUCAUAACCUCUUUACAAGUAAAGAAACCAAGACGAACUCCAAUGAUUUGCCCAAGGCUACAGAGCUAGUAAGGAUUAAACCCAGCUUCUGGUACAGAUUCUCUGCUCAACUGUGCUGACUUAUUAAAAGACCUGGCUAUUUCCCAUUGGUGUUUGCAAUAGUUUUCAUGCAUGGUCUUCAAAAUCACCCAGCAAGGUAUUAGAGCAAGUAUUAUUAUUCCAUUUUACAGAAAAGGAAAAAAAAAAAAAAGCCAAUUCCACUGUCCCCUUAUCUUGAUCUGCUGGAAUGACGUGGAGAGGUGAACCCACUUCUAUUAGUUUUCUGCUGUUGCCAUAACAGAGUAGCACAAACAUAGUGGCUUACAAUAAAAAUU